This 253-nucleotide ribosomal RNA is filed under the name uncultured bacterium. RNAcentral's name for it is "partial 16S ribosomal RNA". It matches the Rfam family "Bacterial small subunit ribosomal RNA", at positions 524 to 776 of the family's 1533-position model. The record is from RNAcentral.
AACGUAGGACACAAGCGUUAUCCGGAGUUACUGGGCGUAAAGGGCGUGCAGGCGGUCUGUUAAGAGAGGCUUGAAAGCCCCCGGCUAAACUGGGGGUGGUGGCUUGAGACUGGCAGACUAGAGGAUGGUAGAGGCGUGUAGAAUUCCGGGUGUAGUGGUGAAAUGCGUAGAGAUCCGGAGGAAUACCAGUGGCGAAGGCGGCACGCUGGGCCAUUACUGACGCUAAGACGCGAAAGCAUGGGUAGCGAACGGG